CGAGUCCUGAUGUGUACGUUGUAACUCCUUGUUUUGACCGAACAUUUCUGAAAAGGGAGCCCGUACGUUUUCAUACAGCGUAAAUGCCUCCAUGGAGAGAGGACUUACAAAGUUUUGAAACAGGGCACCCACCUGCUCCAGAGCGGGUUCAAAACGAAGGCCUUAUCGCGACGGCACGAUUGGGACUCGU
This 190-nucleotide non-coding RNA is filed under the name Bacillus oleivorans. RNAcentral's name for it is "6S / SsrS RNA". It matches the Rfam family "6S / SsrS RNA". Rfam says of the family: E. coli 6S RNA was the first non coding RNA to be sequenced, but its function was unknown until recently. It consists of 184 nucleotides that fold into an extended hairpin structure with a large single-stranded internal bulge. The 6S RNA specifically associates with RNA polymerase holoenzyme containing the sigma70 specificity factor. Lineage: Bacteria; Bacillati; Bacillota; Bacilli; Caryophanales; Bacillaceae. The record is from Rfam by way of RNAcentral.